RNAcentral lists this non-coding RNA (86 nucleotides) under Aminobacter niigataensis. RNAcentral's name for it is "Glycine". It matches the Rfam family "Glycine riboswitch aptamer". From Rfam's summary of the family: This family represents the bacterial glycine riboswitch. Glycine riboswitches usually consist of two metabolite-binding aptamers domains with similar structures in tandem. The aptamers cooperatively bind glycine to regulate the expression of downstream genes. Lineage: Bacteria; Pseudomonadati; Pseudomonadota; Alphaproteobacteria; Hyphomicrobiales; Phyllobacteriaceae. The record is from RNAcentral.
UAGUUCUCUGCGAGAGAGAUCGGAAUUCCGACGCCGAAGGAGCAACCGCCCCGGAAACUCUCAGGCAAAAGAAUCGCAGUGAAGGU